This 433-nucleotide ribosomal RNA is filed under the name uncultured bacterium. RNAcentral's name for it is "bacterial SSU rRNA". It matches the Rfam family "Bacterial small subunit ribosomal RNA", at positions 29 to 507 of the family's 1533-position model. The record is from RNAcentral.
AACGAACGCUGGCGGCAGGCCUAACACAUGCAAGUCGAGCGAGGUAGCAAUAUCUAGCGGCGGACGGGUGAGUAACGCGUGGGAACGUACCCUUUGCUACGGAAUAGCCCCGGGAAACUGGGAGUAAUACCGUAUGUGCCCUUCGGGGGAAAGAUUUAUCGGCAAAGGAUCGGCCCGCGUUGGAUUAGGUAGUUGGUGGGGUAAUGGCCUACCAAGCCGACGAUCCAUAGCUGGUUUGAGAGGAUGAUCAGCCACACUGGGACUGAGACACGGCCCAGACUCCUACGGGAGGCAGCAGUGGGGAAUCUUAGACAAUGGGCGCAAGCCUGAUCUAGCCAUGCCGCGUGAGUGAUGAAGGCCUUAGGGUUGUAAAGCUCUUUCAGAUGGGAAGAUAAUGACGGUACCAUCAGAAGAAGCCCCGGCUAACUCCGUG